AACGUAGGUGGCGAGCGUUAUCCGGAUUUACUGGGCGUAAAGGGUGUGCAGGCGGGCUGUUAAGUGGUGUAUGAAAUAUCCCGGCUCAACCGGGAGAGGUUAUGCCAGACUGGCAGUCUAGAGAGCGAGAGAGGGACGUGGAAUUCCGGGUGUAGUGGUGAAAUGCGUAGAUAUGACUCGGAAGGCCAACGGCGAAGGCAGGUUACUGGUACGCAACUGACGCUGAGGCACGAAAGCGUGGGGAGCAAACAGG
This 253-nucleotide ribosomal RNA is filed under the name uncultured bacterium. RNAcentral describes it as "partial 16S ribosomal RNA". It matches the Rfam family "Bacterial small subunit ribosomal RNA", at positions 524 to 776 of the family's 1533-position model. The record is from RNAcentral.